AUCGCUUCUCGGCCUUUUGGCUAAGAUCAAGUGUAGUAUCUGUUCUUAUCAGUUUAAUAUCUGAUACGCUCCGCAUCGCGGAGCCAUAUAUUAAAUUGAUUUUUGGAAGGAGGCUAUGGACUAGGUGCUUGCACCAUCCUAGCCACGGGUUGGCCCGGUAUUGCAGUACCUCCGGGAUCGGCCCACCCCUC
Molecule: non-coding RNA, 191 nt
Organism: Branchiostoma floridae (Florida lancelet)
Lineage: Eukaryota; Metazoa; Chordata; Leptocardii; Amphioxiformes; Branchiostomatidae
Source: Rfam